Dicentrarchus labrax (European seabass) is the source of this 4478-nucleotide long non-coding RNA. RefSeq lists it as uncharacterized. The transcript is spliced from 3 exons. The record is from RefSeq and is a predicted model, not a curated record. Lineage: Eukaryota; Metazoa; Chordata; Actinopteri; Moronidae.
UGCAAGGGACCUCCUCGAUCGUCGCUACCAACAUGCCACGGCAUGUUUUAUUCACACUAAAGUCAGACAUAUCUCCCCUCGCCGCUGCCCAGAUCCAUGAGCCGCCCGCCGGCCUCAAAGACAUCAGCAUCAGCUCAGUGUGUCUGCCCGCUCAGUCUCCUUGACCUGCACAUCCCUGCAGAGGAGAGCGACACCACUUUUUAAUGGAAGUGCAGAGCUGGAGAAGCUGCAGAUGCUCCAACUGCUGCCUCACUGAGGUUUUUACAUCAUAAACAAUGUUUACCUGGACUGACCGUUAUCGUGAAGACGGUGUUUCCACAUCAGAGUAUUUCACCCUUAUCUGACAGCCCGAUCACCUCCACUCAUUAUCUCGUGGCACGGUCCGAGAGGCAGCUUUGGUCACGCGUUACCGACCCGCCAUGGCCACGUCAUGCGGGGAUGACAAGACUUUGAUGAACCAUUUGUUACCCUACGGGACUCAUGUCUCUUCACCUUUCUGAAAGUACUUGAUUUAUUAUUAAUUUGUGUUCCCGCCGGGGCUGAACCCUCAUUAGCAGGAAGGUCCCAGGUUCAAUUCCUAGACUUUUCUAUGCAGGUUUGAUCAUUCAGCUGGAUACUGUUUUCAGCAAAUACAACUAUGUCCUCCUCCUCCACCUCUGAAACAGGUUAAACAACAAGGACUCCGACUUCUGUUUUCACCAACAAUAAUAUCUUGCAUCAUCUCAUCUCUUCUUAGUAUGCAUCUCGUAAAAAUGAUCCCUCACCUCCGAGUGGUGAAACGUCCAGCGUCCAGAUGGUCCGCCAUGGCAGCCUCUUCAUCCUUGGAAGCAUCGUUCGGUGCUAAAAUGGGCUGUUACCAACGCUGUUGCAUUCUUUCUAUUAGCAAGGAAUAUGGGCACUUUUAUUAACCCAAAACCUAAAAGAAUAGAAUGUAUUAUGGUGUUAUUUCACUCAUAUAGUCGUAUAAAAACAACCCUCCUGACCAGCCUACGGAUAGUAUUUGUUUUGUUUUGCACCAAAGACUUCCAUCACAGCAUUACAUCAAAGACAAAAAGUCAUGUUUAUUAUGUUUUAACCUGACCUUUAACAUCACCUUCCACCUACUUUAUGAUAAAUUUAGAUAAACCGCUGCUAUAUUUAUUCAUGACAUUUAAGUCCACACCUCCAGACACCAUCAGGUAUGGACAUCACAACAGUUACAUAGAUGCAUAUAGAUAUUAUCUAAUCAGAUGAAAAUUCACUCCUCUGAACAGCAAAGAAAACACAAGAGUGGAAAGAAUUGAUGAGUGUAGAGAUGAACUAUCAAAAUAUUAGAAAAAAAUAACUAUAUUGUUUAUAAAUUAGCUAUUUUGUGUCACCAUUAAACAUAAUGCUGCCUUGUUUAUGUUUUCCUUCAGUGUCUGUAGGCGGUGUUGUAAAAGGAGAUGCCCCUAGUAUUUAGUUGGCUUUAACUACACACCACACACCAUAUGACAACCUCAUUUAAAUACCCUUAAAGCACUCAUUUAUGUCUAACAUGCCUCAUUUUAUGGAUUGUGGAUGCUGCAAUGCCCUUUAGACCCAACAAGGAGCCUCCUGGGAGUCUCAGAAUCGGCUCCUGUCCAAGUUUAGUAAAUAUAGCCUGAAAACAGAUGUCACUGCUCAGAUGGCAAUCAGGAGGAAGGACAGUGGGCCCAGUGGAGCGAUCCUGGCCGACAGAGGUCAUGUUCUGCGGUGGGAGAGUAACUGAGCACAUCAUUGAGCGCUCAACUUGACCCUCGUUGAGUUAUUGUGUGAGGUGGUCUGGUCUGUUGGGAGGCCCUACUUAGAUCACUUACAUCCCACGCUACCUGUGGUGCUCCAGAGACUGUCCUGAGAGAGUAGUUUGUGUUUGUAGGUGUGCCAUCUAUGGGUGUUAAUAACACUAUCAAGGGAGAGCUUCAAAGAGAAAACAUUUUUGCUUCAACUGAAGUCAAUUUUGUGUUUUUUUUCAUGCUAAAUUCAUAAAAAAUUGAGUUGCUUUACAUCAAGUGUUUUCCUUUUUUUUUCUCUCCUUGUGUGAAGUGUUCCCAUCAUUCACUCAAGGCUUACUUAACCAGCAGAGUGGAGAUGAAAGCUUGAGCAUUCGAGUACCCCCAAGAUCCUUUGAUGCCCAACCAUGAAGUAUGUCUUAGAGCUUUUAGCAUUCCUGACUCUGGAAAUCAGUCAGAAAGAUUUUUUUUGUCUCUGAGAGCAGGAGGUCCUCACGGUGGACGGUUUUCCUCAAUUGAAUGUAUGUUGUUAGACUGUUGAACCGAAAUGCACUGAGUCAGGUACUGCAAGGCCACAGUCUGUCUAAUCUUACCAUGCAACUGCUGGAUAUCUGUUGAGCAACAGCAAAACCGUUGUAGAGCGUUGUGGGUGAAAUAGAUGCAGAGCGGCUUGUUUGUGAUAGUGUGCAGCAGUUGUGCAUUGUUUGUUCCAGAUACAGUGCAGAACCCCCUAUCGUUUCUCUUCUAUUUUGAGCACAGCUGUCUAUUAGCUGAGUGCCUGUAAGCCAGUUUUUCUGCGCUCAGCUUUUUGUCAACUCUGCGGAGAUUUGGGUAAUGGCUUCCGCUCAGCUUAAGGAACAGCUCUAAGUGUGCAGACAGACUUCAUCUCCUUUCCUCAACGGACUUUCCUCAUCAAAAGGCCGAGUCCCAGAGGCCGCUCUCCGCUGCCUGCACGGGCCCUCCUAGUCUCAGCUGUUCGGACUCUGGAGAGCAUAGGGCCCACUCAGCUGUCUGUUCCCGUCCUGAACCCCCACCCCUCUGCUAACCACCGACAGUAUAACCCCCUCUAGAAUUGACAGCAUCUGUCAUUGUCACUCAUUCAGCAGCUUUCUGAUGUUUGACCUUUUGAGACGAGAAUGUGCUAGAACUGUAAGUACUGUUUGUUUUAUCAUUAUUCUCCUUUGUUCUGCUGCUACAGGGGAAUAUUACUGCUUGACAAAGCUGUAAAUAUCCUCUUUCAACCUCUUGUGAACGGUAUGUGACUUAAAGUAGAGCAAUAUAUCAUACAUAAGAGUGCAUGAGCAGAUAGAUAAAUUACCUGCAGCAUCACUUCUCAUUGACCUUUCCUUUCAGAUUGAAAUAAAGAAACGGGCAGAAUGAGCCAGAAGCUUCAUGACGCAUAAGAUCACGCCUUCACUCUUUUUAUUAGAGGCACUCACUGAUCCGCGGGCUCCGUUCCCCUUGCGGGGGAAGUCGUUUGUCAAAGACAGAUCCCUUCAGGAGCUCUGCUGGAUUUAGGGGUUUCCUCCGCUGUUCAUGGGGCACAUUUCCCAGAAUUACACUCAUUCAUGAUGAGUGAAAGCAUCCAGAGGAGAAAAAGAGGUGCCUCUCGCCUCCAUUCAGCAGCCCAGGCCCCUAAUCUCUGCUGGGACAGCCCACAAUGAGAAAGGAAGGCCGGCACUCACAUCAAGCACCGGCCUCUGUAAUAAAGGCACAAUGACAAUAGAUAACAUUUCAUGGUAUAACAUGGACUGCCUCAUCUGUGUGUGCUGCUAGAAACUUUUAAAACACUUCAAAUACCUCAGAUGUUUUUAAACCACAUUCCUUUGACACACAGGAGUAAUUAUUAGUUUCAUUAUAAUGACUGCAUGUGUCAUUCAUGGCAGAUUUAUGAGUCUAGUUUUUAAUGGUUCACAUUCGUGUUACUCUUCCGCCACAAAGUGCACUAAUAAAAGCAUACAGUCAGCGUAUGUAUGCCAGAAAGUGAAGCACAAAUAGGUGUGUGGUUCCAAACAAAAGAUACGUAGAUGAAGAUAAUGUAUCAUCGCCAAAAUAUAAUCAUUUAACCCCAAACAUUUUCCACUUAUGUACCUUUAAGGUUAUUAAAAUCAUAUUAUAACAGCACUGUACACAUUCUGUAUCAGCUUGUUCCAGCAGCUCUUAAGUGAAGCUAUUUCAUGUUUCCACAUAUUCAAAUCCAUGAAGCAUUUUGUAUCUUUUCAACAUUUGGGAUCUCUACUAGAGUUUGAAACAAAGAUAUUUUACACUCGGCUGCACAACAUGUUACAAGUUUGUAAAGAUUGACACGUCAGUGGGCCACAGCUUGGUGAGAGAGUUGUUAAUGAACUAAGAGAAGCAGCUGGAUUUUAUCCUUAGAGAUGCAAUUUUAGAGGCAGUAGGGGUUUUAUAAAAGUUUUACUAGCUGAAGAAGUAGAGUAGAGAGUUUUCUCAGCCAAUAAAGUUUGGUAAUUUCAUAAUUUCCUGCAGUUUCCUUUAAAUAUUCAUUCAUUUAUUAAUGUAAACUUUGUUUGCAUGCUAGCUUGUUUACAAAUGUUACAUUUUUGCAUGUUCAGCUCAGCUGCCGACUUUUUGGUUAUGCUACCAAUUAUUUGAAUUUGAAUUAAUUAAUUGGAGGUUGACAGAUCGGACACACUCUCUAUUAAUUAUAAGCAAAUUACAAAGCUUGUUUACAAACAACGUUGAGGAAAAAAUUAGGAAUUUACUCAUUAUUAAUUAAUCUUAACUUAA